Molecule: long non-coding RNA, 2465 nt
Organism: Rosa rugosa (rugosa rose)
Lineage: Eukaryota; Viridiplantae; Streptophyta; Magnoliopsida; Rosales; Rosaceae
Exons: 14
Source: RefSeq, a predicted model, not a curated record
UACAAAAGUAAAAUGGGAUUGUCACUGUUCAAUGAACAGUGAUACAACUCUUUUUUUCCUUUCCGGAUUUGCCCUCAAAACAGAUAAACAUGGGGUUUUAUACUGUUCUGCUGUGACGCUUUUGUCUCUUCUGCCGCUUUGGUCGGUUUCGUCAGAGAAGAGAAAGAAGAAGGAGGAGGAGGAGGAGACGGGAAGCUCUCUUUCCUUUCAGAGGUCCGCUCACUGCUCGGGUAUGAUUCGUUCUUGCAUGCGCUUAAUUGAUCUUGUCUAGGCAUUCUGCUGGUCGAGAAUGGUAUUCUGGUAUGGUUUAUGGUAUUCAAAUCAUCAAAAGGUUUUAAUUGGAAAAAUGGUGGUGUAGACUCUGCAUGCAGUCCCAGCGCUGCCUCACCUUCCCCGUCAUACUCCGGCGAGCCAUUAAAACGUACUCAGGAGUCAGAUCAAGAGGAGCCUCACAUGAAAAGGAAGGUGCUUGCUGAGGCCAAAUUGAGGAUGGGGAUUGACUGACAUUGAAGCUGUAUGAGUAACGUAGCCUAAAAUUUUUGUAUUCAUCGUAUUUCUCCCGGGUUAGUUUCGCGAUGGAGGACCCGAAAAGAUGAGCUGCCUAUUUUUCUGGGUCGCACCUCUUGCGCCACCAUAGGAAAGAGCGGAGGUAAUCAUGUUCGAGUGCAACGUUGUUAUAUAUAAGUUUGUGCAGGAACUUCACUUCUUUGUGACUGGAGGUGACGAUGAAAAUGAACUCAUUUUAGCAACUCUACUUCAGGGAUUCUUUGAUGCAGUUGCCCUUCUCUUGAGGAAAAAUGUCGACAAAAGGGAGGCAUUAGAGCACCUGGAUCUCAUACUCCUAUAGUUCAAUGCUUUGAUGUGAUCAUUGAUCAAUGAUCUGCUCAUUUUUUACCCUUUGCAACUGUUAAAGCUGAAGAGAUUUUGGUGUCACUGCCUGCUGAAAUACAUCACUUCGUUAAGUUUCUGUGAUUAAUCCUUAAACUUGCAGUAGUAAUUGGUCAUGGAGAGUUGCCUACAAUUAUAAGAUGAUUCAUCAAGCGCAAUUUCUUUUGCAGUAAUUGAUCAUUUUUUCUGUUGCAUGAUCUAUGGACCUUCAUUGGUGUUGAUGUCUACUGAAAUAUGUAAAUAUACUAUUGUGGUUAGAACAUUUUAUUUUGUGGAAAUAUUGCAGUUAAAAUGUCUAUUUAAACAAUAUCGGUUAAUAUUAUGUUUGAAAUAUCUAAGUAUGGUUAAAACACCAGCUUUUGUAAUAUGUAAAAUGAUAGCAUUGCAGUUAACUUUAAUCAACUUAUAACUGUGAUUCUGUUACGAACAAAUUUGAGAACAAUAAAAGGACACAAACCCGCAGCAUCGCGCGGGAAGUACCAUCUAGUUAUAAAGAUACAAAAGUAAAAUCGGAUUGUCACUGUUCAAUGAACAGUGAUAUAGCUUUUUUUUUUUUCUUUCCGGAUUUGCCCUCAAAACAGAUAAACAUGGGGUUUUAUACUGUCCUGCUGUGACGCUUUUGUCUCUUCUGCCGCUUCGAUCUUUUUUCUUUAAUUCGUUUUGGGUCUUGGUCGGUUUCGUCAGAGAAGGUCGGUGAGAAAAAGAGAUAGAAGGGCUGAACCUGCCGGCUAGAUAGUAAGCGAGAGUAAAAAAGAAAGAGUGAGAAAAGAAGAAGAAGAAGAAGAAGAAGAAGAAGAAGGAGGAGGAGGAGGAGACGGGAAGCUCUCUGGGUUUUCUUUGAUCGGCUCCCGUAUUUGUCUUGAGCUGACCAAGCCUGUUACUAAGCCCCCAUUGGUAUGGAGACUGGGGAGUUUGCGGAGCUGCUGCCUGUGAGUUGUUCUUGAAUUUCUGUCAUCAACUUCUGUUCAGCCAUCACUGGUACAUCACUGGGUUACAUUCAGCCUGGAUUGAGCGAUGUUGUGAUUUGGUGUUGAUAAAAUCAGUGAAAGGCUUUGACAUCAAUGAAAGAAAGGUGAUGGUGUGACAGAGUAAAAUCCUGAUCCUUCAAUGUAUCUGACAGCUGUUAAGGCUGUGUUGCAGACCAGAUUUGAGGUGGAACAAGCUGCUCACUAUCUGAUAUUCAAUUGUCAAGUAAAGAAUAACCGGUGAUUCAGACAAGUGAUUCCGAUACCGUCGAUGUUGCUGAAGGACAUCAAUUUAAAAAUGCUUCUUUGUUGGCAGACUUGACGGGCACAAAGUUCAUUGAGCGCCAAAAUGGAAGAGAGGGUGAAGGAGGGAACUGAAAACAUCUUCCAUUGGUUUUAAGCAUUCAAAUCUUUCAAAGGGAAGAGCACAUUGAAAUUGCCAAAGCCAAGAAGAAAGUACUAGAGAUAGAGUUGUGCUCAUCUGAGGAAGAGCUUGAUACUGAGGCAUGUUUUCUUACCAGGCUUCGUUAUCUCCAGAUCUAUCUGUUAAUCAUUAUGCUCUGAUUACUUGCCUUAUUUAUACAGCAGUAUGUUAUAAACAGAUCAAAUUUG